UACGGAGGUUGGAAGCGUUAUCCGGAUUCAUUGGGUUUAAAGGGUGCGUAGGCGGGACGGUAAGUCAGUGGUGAAAGCCUGCAGCUUAACUGUAGAAUUGCCAUUGAUACUGCUGUUCUUGAGUGCAGCUGAGGUGGGCGGAAUGUGUAGUGUAGCGGUGAAAUGCUUAGAUAUUACACAGAACACCGAUUGCGAAGGCAGCUCACUAAACUGUAACUGACGCUGAGGCACGAAAGCGUGGGGAGCAAACAGG
Molecule: ribosomal RNA, 253 nt
Filed under: uncultured bacterium
Lineage: Bacteria
Description: partial 16S ribosomal RNA
Rfam family: Bacterial small subunit ribosomal RNA
Source: RNAcentral